AUAUGCUUAAACUCAGCGGGUAGUCCCGCCUGACCUGGGGUCGCGGUCGAAGCAUCGUCGCUAGACGACACUAAGGGGUCUUUGAAGAGAAACUCGCUUGCGGAUCACAACACACGGCUCGAUACGAGAUUAUACAACCACCACUAGUCGUGCAUCCACCGAAGGAGGACUCCUAUUUAGAUCAACCACACCAUGAGCACGGGAGACCAAUCUCCGCUCCCUACACCACAUGUCCAUAGAAUGAUGGUGAGGGGCGACGCGAUGCGUGACGCCCAGGCAGACGUGCCCUCGGCCGAAUGGCUUCGGGCGCAACUUGCGUUCAAAAACUCGAUGGUUCACGGGAUUCUGCAAUUCACACCAAGUAUCGCAUUUUGCUACGUUCUUCAUCGAUGCGUGAGCCGAGAUAUCCGUUGCCGAGAGUCGUUUAUGGUUUCAAAGAGGCCACGACCCGUGCGCAUACCGCGAACGGAGCAACACGGGUGCACCUUUCUUAUGUUUUGUUUUCCUUGGCACAUGCCGUGCCGGGGUUUGUUUUUGUGUCGGCAUAACAUCCACAAGGCCACAAAGUGACCCGGUGUGCGCACACCAACAAAGCAUCACGGCUCCCAGGCUCAUACCUAAUCACCCUGAUGCCGAUUGUCAUUACAUGUUCACGGGUCGUUCUGCUGUGCAGGCUUCGACAAUGAUCCUUCCGCAGGUUCACCUACGGAAACCUUGUUAC
This 721-nucleotide unclassified non-coding RNA is filed under the name Echinops sp. EM369. Its description in RNAcentral is "sequence contains ITS1, 5.8S rRNA gene, ITS2". Lineage: Eukaryota; Viridiplantae; Streptophyta; Magnoliopsida; Asterales; Asteraceae. The record is from RNAcentral.